RNAcentral lists this ribosomal RNA (494 nucleotides) under uncultured bacterium. RNAcentral describes it as "partial 16S ribosomal RNA". It matches the Rfam family "Bacterial small subunit ribosomal RNA", at positions 28 to 507 of the family's 1533-position model. The record is from RNAcentral.
GACGAACGCUGGCGGCGCGCUUAACACAUGCAUGUCGAACGGAAAGGCCUGCUUUCCCUUGUGGAUUGCGGGUACUCGAGUGGCGAACGGGUGAGUAACACGUGAGUGAUCUGCCCCCAACUUGGGUAUAAGCCUGGGAAACUGGGUCUAAUUCCCGAUAGGACUGCAGGGUGGUGCCUGUGGUGGAAAACGAUUUUCUAGUGGUUGGGGAUGAGCUCGCGGCCUAUCAGCUUGUUGGUGGGGUAAUGGCCUACCAAGGCGGCGACGGGUAGCCGGCCUGAGAGGGUGGACGGCCACAUUGGGACUGAGAUACGGCCCAGACUCCUACGGGAGGCAGCAGUGGGGAAUAUUGCACAAUGGGCGGAAGCCUGAUGCAGCGACGCCGCGUGGGGGAUGACGGCCUUCGGGUUGUAAACUCCUUUCGACCGCGAGGAAGCCACCUGGUUGGAAGGGUGGUGACGGUAGUGGUAGAAGAAGCACCGGCUAACUACGUG